CGCACAGUAAACGAUGAAUACUAGCUGUUUGCGAUAUACAGUAAGUGGCACAGCGAAAGCGUUAAGUAUUCCACCUGGGGAGUACGCCGGCAACGGUGAAACUCAAAGGAAUUGACGGGGGCCCGCACAAGCGGAGGAACAUGUGGUUUAAUUCGAUGAUACGCGAGGAACCUUACCCGGGCUUGAAUUGCAGUGGAAUGUAGCGGAAACGUUGCAGUCAGCAAUGACCACUGUGAAGGUGC
Molecule: ribosomal RNA, 242 nt
Filed under: uncultured Bacteroidales bacterium
Lineage: Bacteria; Pseudomonadati; Bacteroidota; Bacteroidia; Bacteroidales
Description: partial 16S ribosomal RNA
Rfam family: Bacterial small subunit ribosomal RNA
Source: RNAcentral